AGAGUUUGAUCCUGGCUCAGGAUGAACGCUGGCGGCGUGCUUAACACAUGCAAGUCGAACGGUGAAGCCAAGCUUGCUUGGUGGAUCAGUGGCGAACGGGUGAGUACCACGUGAGCAACCUGCCCUGGACUCUGGGCAUAAGCGCUGGAAACGGCGUCUAAUACUGGAUAUGAGCUCUCAUCGCAUGGUGGGGGUUGGAAAGAUUUUUUGGUCUGGGAUGGGCUCGCGGCCUAUCAGCUUGUUGGUGAGGUAUGAGCUCACCAAGGCGUCGACGGG
RNAcentral lists this ribosomal RNA (276 nucleotides) under Microbacterium trichothecenolyticum. Its description in RNAcentral is "partial 16S ribosomal RNA". It matches the Rfam family "Bacterial small subunit ribosomal RNA", at positions 8 to 283 of the family's 1533-position model. The record is from RNAcentral. Lineage: Bacteria; Bacillati; Actinomycetota; Actinomycetes; Micrococcales; Microbacteriaceae.